RNAcentral lists this long non-coding RNA (1048 nucleotides) under Phoenix dactylifera (date palm). RNAcentral describes it as "long non-coding RNA (PDAC_LNC012611)". The record is from RNAcentral. Lineage: Eukaryota; Viridiplantae; Streptophyta; Magnoliopsida; Arecales; Arecaceae.
CGCGCGCAUGUUUUAGUAUAUUUAAUGUUUUAUUGUUAGCUUGAAAUUGAAGAUGAUCUUUUAUGUACUUGUAUAUAAUUGCCAAAAAUUGCCGAAAAAUGUUUUGGUAUAUUAUAAGCUUGCUCUAGUGCCUUAUUUUAUUAUAUUACGAUUAUCAUCAUCUUAGCUGAUCUUAUAACAUGUAGUUUCUGAUGCUGCUGUGCAAGGUGAUGCUUUUUUUGGCUUAUUAGGGGGAAGCUUUGGUGUUGUCCCAAACUAUGUGGAGGGAAAUAAUUGUUUCAUCCAAUAUAAAUACAUGAUGCUUUAUUCUUGGUUAGGGUCCUUGGAUGAACCACUAUAUAUGGUGGUCCACAAGAAUGUGGAAGCUAAUUCCUCAUGCGGUGCAUGUAUCCUCUAUAAAGCUUAUUGGAGAUCUAUACACUUGUGAUCUUUUGUGUUCCCCGGUGUGUAUGUUGGAGUUUAUUAUUUAACUUAACACAUUUCUUGAAAUAAUAAUAUCUAUAAGUUGAUUCCACAUAGAGGAAUUGGUGUUAAUAUUCAAUUAAACAAAGCUGGCUCAUCUAACCAUGAGUAACUAUUUUGGCGAGAUAGAGAAGAGAGGAUGAAAAAAAUGAAAAUAGGAAUAAAAUCCAAGAAAGCUUAAAUAUUACAAAAAAGUUCACCUACAUUUAGAUGGGAUAUCCUUGAGAGAGCACUAUGGAGUAAAAUAGAAUAAGAGUGUUCUCAUGCAGGUCCAUUCAAUCUUCAUUCAAAGAAGUUUUUUCCAUUAAGUAUAUCUUGUGGUGUGGGACUGGGCUGUCCCUGUUUCUCCAUGGAACAAGAUGCCCCGCUGUCCCAUUUCGUCACCCUCCAUCUUUCUCCCCUUCUUCCCUUUCUUUGUUUCUUUCUUUUUCUUCUUUCUUUUCUUUCUUCCUUCUUUCCUUCCAUCCUUUAUUUCUAUAUCUUCUUCCUUCGUUUCUUUCCUUUUUCUUCUUCUUUCUUUCCCUUCUUCCUUCUUUCCUUCCUUUCUUUUUUUUCUUAUGCCUUCUUUCCUUUUUCUUUCCUUUUU